UUGAAAGUGUGUAGCUCUUCUGCCUUUGUGUGCUUUCUCUCUCUCCUGCUUCCAAGUCAAGAUGUGCUGGCUUCUCCUUUGCCCUUCUGUCAUUAUUGUAAGUUUCAUGAGGCCUCGGAGCCACGCUUCCUGUAUAGCCUGCAGAACUGCUCACUGCUGGUAUUAGAAAGUUCUCAAGGCUACCUUAUCCUUCUUGGUUCCUCUCUCGUCUCCUUCUCCCCAGCUCAACCAGGU
RNAcentral lists this long non-coding RNA (234 nucleotides) under Homo sapiens (human). Its description in RNAcentral is "HSALNT0394032". The record is from RNAcentral. Lineage: Eukaryota; Metazoa; Chordata; Mammalia; Primates; Hominidae.